Molecule: long non-coding RNA, 1596 nt
Filed under: Anser cygnoides (Swan goose)
Lineage: Eukaryota; Metazoa; Chordata; Aves; Anseriformes; Anatidae
Description: lncRNA (ENSACDG00005002114.1)
Source: RNAcentral
UGGUCGGCCGGUAGCUGGUGGACGCACACCCCGCAGUGGGAUCCCUGCUGCCUUCGUCAUCGCCCCCUCCUGAGCUGCCAGGCUCGCUUUACAGACCCCAGCUUCCUUUUAUUGCUUCCCCUCUCAGAUUGCAGCCGGGCCGCCGGGGCUAUUUUUAGCAGCCUGCCUUCUAAAAAUAGCCGCGAGCUGUUGGCAGUUGCGUCAGGAGAGGUACCUCUCCUCCGCCCGCCGCCUUGGCCCCUGCGCCCCGGGAGGCUACAAAAGGAGGCCGGGAGCAGCGGGGGUCAGCGGGUUCAGAGGCAGCCGCAGGCGGAGGAGGCGAGAGGCGCUCCGCCAGCUCCGGGCGCGCCGUGCCGGCACAAUGACCAUCUUCUGCAGCCACUGCCACAGGCCGCUGCAGGCAGAGGCGAGCUGCCUGCCCGGGAAGGCCAGGUCGGCGCCCGGCGUCUCCAAGCCGUUCAGGUGAGCUGCCCCUCGCCCGCGGGGCUGCAGGCUGGGCAGCGUGCAAUUCCCGCAGCCUGCCGUUGUGCCGGAGCAGGGGACGCCGUCCCCCCCCUCCCCAGGACAGGGCUCCCCAAAGAGCUGGCUUUGCAGGUCGACCAAGAGCGCCUCGAAAGCUCGCCGGGACCAGAUCAACGCGGAGCUGCAGGCGCUGCGCUCCCUGCUGCCCAUCUCGGCGCGGGAGAAGGAGCGCCUCUCCUACCUCCACACCAUGGCCCUGGUGUGCCUCCGGCUCCGGGGCGCUCACCUCUUCCCUCCAGGUACCCGCGGGCACCGCCGUACCUGCCCGGUGCCUCGCCAGCACGGCUCUGCACGGGGCGCUGCUCCUGGAGGAGCCUCACGCUGUGCUCCCCCUGCAGACUCGGCUCCCCCGGCGGGACCGGUGCUGGGUGCGGAGCUGCUCUCCCUGCUGCCGGGGUUUCUGCUGGUGCUCUCAGCCGGCGGCAAGCUGGUCUACGUCUCCGAGAACGUCUCCCAGGUCCUGGGCCUCUCCAUGGUAAGGCCUGGCCGCUGCGGGGUUGCAGUCGCUGUCCCCGCGAGGCUCUCCGGUGGCUUCAGCAGGCUGCGAGCUCGCGGUGUGCCAGCACCCGGCCCCGCGGGGCAGGCACGCUCCGUGACGACAGCUCCCCGACCAGGUGGAGCUUCUCGCCCAGGGGGACACAGUCUUCGACAUCUUGGAUGGGCAAGCGCGGGAGGACGUGUGCAAGAAGCUCCUCCUGGCGCAGGAGCAGCCAGGCAGGGGUAAGGCUGGGAGAACGGGAGGCUGCUGGGGUGGGGGUCUCACAGGUGCUGGGCUCUUUGUGGCCGCCUGGAAGGGGAGCGGGGCUGCCAGGGGAGCCCCUGACCCACCCCGGCAGGUUUGCUUCUCCGCAGAAGUCACGUUUGUCAGCGAGAUGUGCACAUCCAAGGCCUUCCGCCUGCAGCACGGGGGUAACCGGGCCGUGGCGGUGCGUGGGCGCUUCCUGGCCCCACGCUGGCCGGCCUCCCCCACUGCAGCCUUCCUGGCCCUCUGCACUCCGGUCCCACGGCUGGCUGCAGAGGGCGAUGCUGGCUCUCAGGACGACCUGUUCCACAGCACUCAUGCUCUGGACAUGA